GAAAGAAAUUGGAGAGAACAUAUUUCCAAAGCUUUAUAAUGCACACCAAGUAAAUCUGACGCCAAAGGAUUAGCUGAAGAACAAGCUCCGUGCUGCUCCCUUCCACAUAGUAAGACUAAAGCCAAGAAAAUCAUCCAGGAAACUUAUGGAUGUAGUGCCGCAGGAGAGAUACAUGUCCACAUUUAAAGGUGGCUGGCUUUGAUUCUUCUUACACAUUUGGUGACUGAAGCUGCCCCCGCCCCAUGACUUAAAAGUAUCGAAGAUGGAACACUUGUUCAGUGACUAAGCUAAUUCUGAAGCCUGAUGUGUUUACACAAAGAAUGGAC
This is a long non-coding RNA of Lagenorhynchus albirostris (white-beaked dolphin), 326 nucleotides long. RefSeq lists it as uncharacterized. NCBI's taxonomy places the organism in Eukaryota, Metazoa, Chordata, Mammalia, Artiodactyla, Delphinidae. The record is from RefSeq and is a predicted model, not a curated record. The transcript has 3 exons.